RNAcentral lists this ribosomal RNA (955 nucleotides) under uncultured archaeon. Its description in RNAcentral is "bacterial SSU rRNA". It matches the Rfam family "Archaeal small subunit ribosomal RNA", at positions 44 to 1004 of the family's 1478-position model. The record is from RNAcentral.
CUAAGCCAUGCGAGUCAUUGUAGCAAUACAAGGCAGACGGCUCAGUAACGCGUAGUCAAUCUACCCUAUGGACGGGAAUAACCUCGGGAAACUGAGAAUAAUGCCCGAUAGAACAUUAUGCCUGGAAUGGUUUAUGUUUCAAAUGAUUUAUCGCCAUAGGAUGGGACUGCGGCCUAUCAGUUUGUUGGUGAGGUAAUGGCCCACCAAGACUAUUACAGGUACGGGCUCUGAGAGGAGUAGCCCGGAGAUGGGUACUGAGACACGGACCCAGGCCCUAUGGGGCGCAGCAGGCGAGAAAACUUUGCAAUGUGCGAAAGCACGACAAGGUUAAUCCGAGUGGUUUCUGCUAAAGAAACCUUUUGUCAGUCCUAGAAACACUAACGAAUAAGGGGUGGGCAAGUUCUGGUGUCAGCCGCCGCGGUAAAACCAGCACCUCAAGUGGUCAGGAUGAUUAUUGGGCCUAAAGCAUCCGUAGCUCGUUUUGUAAGUUUUCGGUUAAAUCCAUGCGCUUAACGUAUGGGCUGCCGGGAAUACUGCAUAACUAGGAAGUGGGAGAGGUAGACGGUACUCGGUAGGAAGGGGUAAAAUCCUUUGAUCUAUUGAUGACCACCUGUGGCGAAGGCGGUCUACCAGAACACGUUCGACGGUGAGGGAUGAAAGCUGGGGGAGCAAACCGGAUUAGAUACCCGGGUAGUCCCAGCUGUAAACUAUGCAAACUCAGUGAUGCAUUGGCUUGUGGCCAAUGCAGUGCUGCAGGGAAGCCGUUAAGUUUGCCGCCUGGGAAGUACGUACGCAAGUAUGAAACUUAAAGGAAUUGGCGGGGGAGCACCACACAGGGGUGAAGCCUGCGGUUCAAUUGGAGUCAMCGCCAGAAAUCUUACCCGGAGAGACAGCAGAAUGAAGGUCAAGCUGAAGACUUUACCAGACAAGCUGAGAGGUGGUGCAUGGCCAAUCU